ACGGAGGGUGCGAGCGUUAUUCGGAAUUACUGGGCGUAAAGCGCGUGUAGGCGGGGGGACAAGUCUGAUGUGAAAGCCUUGGGCUUAACCUGGGAAGCGCAUUGGAAACUGUUUUUCUUGAGUACUGGAGAGGAAGGGGGAAUUCCCGGUGUAGCGGUGAAAUGCGUAGAGAUCGGGAGGAAUACCGGUGGCGUAGGCACCCUUCUGGACGGAAACUGACGCUGAUGCGCGAAAGCGUGGGGAGCAAACAG
RNAcentral lists this ribosomal RNA (251 nucleotides) under uncultured prokaryote. Its description in RNAcentral is "partial 16S rRNA". It matches the Rfam family "Bacterial small subunit ribosomal RNA", at positions 525 to 775 of the family's 1533-position model. The record is from RNAcentral.